This is a long non-coding RNA of Eucalyptus grandis, 978 nucleotides long. RefSeq lists it as uncharacterized. Lineage: Eukaryota; Viridiplantae; Streptophyta; Magnoliopsida; Myrtales; Myrtaceae. The record is from RefSeq and is a predicted model, not a curated record. The transcript has 2 exons.
AUACGUCCAAUUUUGGUUGUUUGAGGAUUAGCGGGAGCUCUAAUUAAGGAAAGGUCCUGCCAAUUCUACUACUUCUGUGGAGAGUAGUUGAAUUACCGAGAGGGAAGCUUGGAAGCUAUCCGAGCAGCCUGUCGUGGCAAUCGGUCGACGCCUGCUCAGUAGCAGAGGAGAGUUUCGAAAGGGGAGGGGACAAGCAUAGGAAAUUCGUGCAAAACCUCGGUUUAUGAGAUGGGGAUGCGGACAGAGAUUUUUGGUGAAAUAUAAAAGAAGAUACCAUAGGAAGUAGAAAAUGUGCCGAACACCUAGCAGGUGGGCCGGGUGGGUUUGGGGCAUCCGGAGAACACAGACCGGAUAUUUAGAAGGGAUAACUAUUGUACAAGCAUCUUCUCGAAUGUGAGCUUUGCAGACUGGAUUGUUAUCUGUUGGGUUUAUAUCUUCACCGGGAUGAAGAAGAAUUGCAAAGAGAGAGAUCAUAGAGAAGCAUCAUUUGAUUAUUUACUGUUGCUCUUCUUUUUCCCAGUGGGUACAUGCAUCUGUUGUUUGCGGUGUUAUUAGCGGAGGAUGUCAGCAUUUCCUAGUCAACUCAGUCUGAGAUCUGGUGCUUUAGCAGCAAACUAGUUAAGUUCUACCAUGAAUGGAGUUCAUUUGGUUGUAUCUACCUUAAAUGUUAAGUCAUCAUUCCCUGGCAGAAUUACGUGAAAAGAAGUAGAUGUUUGUUUCUCUUUGUGAGGAAGAAGUUUCAAUGUCUGAGUCCGUUAAUUAGAUUCCUAGGACUUGACAAUGAUUGGUCACUGCACUGCACUGAAGCCUGUUAUUUGACAGGAAUCUCUUCCUCAUCCUCUUCUUCUUCCUCCAUUUCUUUGGACUGUUGGAGCAGAUUGUCUAGUGAUAUUUUUCAUGUGUUUACUGAUUAUCUAAGAUGCACAGUUAAGCAUUUAUUCUGUCAUGAUACAUCAUUGCGAUGAAUUUUCCCAGUAA